GACGAACGCUGGCGGCGUGCCUAAUACAUGCAAGUAGAACGCUGAAGAGAGGAGCUUGCUCUUCUUGGAUGAGUUGCGAACGGGUGAGUAACGCGUAGGUAACCUGCCUGGUAGCGGGGGAUAACUAUUGGAAACGAUAGCUAAUACCGCAUAAAAUUGAUUAUUGCAUGAUACUUAAUUGAAAGAUGCAAUUGCAUCACUACCAGAUGGACCUGCGUUGUAUUAGCUAGUUGGUGAGGUAACGGCUCACCAAGGCGACGAUACAUAGCCGACCUGAGAGGGUGAUCGGCCACACUGGGACUGAGACACGGCCCAGACUCCUACGGGAGGCAGCAGUAGGGAAUCUUCGGCAAUGGGGGGAACCCUGACCGAGCAACGCCGCGUGAGUGAAGAAGGUUUUCGGAUCGUAAAGCUCUGUUGUAAGAGAAGAACGGGUGUGAGAGUGGAAAGUUCACACUGUGACGGUAUCUUACCAGAAAGGGACGGCUAACUACGUGCCAGCAGCCGCGGUAAUACGUAGGUCCCGAGCGUUGUCCGGAUUUAUUGGGCGUAAAGCGAGCGCAGGCGGUUAGAUAAGUCUGAAGUUAAAGGCUGUGGCUUAACCAUAGUAUGCUUUGGAAACUGUUUAACUUGAGUGCAGAAGGGGAGAGUGGAAUUCCAUGUGUAGCGGUGAAAUGCGUAGAUAUAUGGAGGAACACCGGUGGCGAAAGCGGCUCUCUGGUCUGUAACUGACGCUGAGGCUCGAAAGCGUGGGGAGCAAACAGGAUUAGAUACCCUGGUAGUCCACGCCGUAAACGAUGAGUGCUAGGUGUUAGGCCCUUUCCGGGGCUUAGUGCCGCAGCUAACGCAUUAAGCACUCCGCCUGGGGAGUACGACCGCAAGGUUGAAACUCAAAGGAAUUGACGGGGGCCCGCACAAGCGGUGGAGCAUGUGGUUUAAUUCGAGGCAACGCGAAGAACCUUACCAGGUCUUGACAUCCCUCUGACCGCUCUAGAGAUAGAGUUUUCCUUCGGGACAGAGGUGACAGGUGGUGCAUGGUUGUCGUCAGCUCGUGUCGUGAGAUGUUGGGUUAAGUCCCGCAACGAGCGCAACCCCUAUUGUUAGUUGCCAUCAUUCAGUUGGGCACUCUAGCGAGACUGCCGGUAAUAAACCGGAGGAAGGUGGGGAUGACGUCAAAUCAUCAUGCCCCUUAUGACCUGGGCUACACACGUGCUACAAUGGCUGGUACAACGAGUCGCAAGCCGGUGACGGCAAGCUAAUCUCUGAAAGCCAGUCUCAGUUCGGAUUGUAGGCUGCAACUCGCCUACAUGAAGUCGGAAUCGCUAGUAAUCGCGGAUCAGCACGCCGCGGUGAAUACGUUCCCGGGCCU
Molecule: ribosomal RNA, 1369 nt
Filed under: uncultured bacterium
Lineage: Bacteria
Description: bacterial SSU rRNA
Rfam family: Bacterial small subunit ribosomal RNA
Source: RNAcentral